Long non-coding RNA from Sitodiplosis mosellana (orange wheat blossom midge), 405 nucleotides. RefSeq lists it as uncharacterized. The record is from RefSeq and is a predicted model, not a curated record. Lineage: Eukaryota; Metazoa; Arthropoda; Insecta; Diptera; Cecidomyiidae. The transcript has 4 exons.
UAUACCUUUUGUAGGCUGUAAUAAAAUGUCAUAGCUUAUAAUAUUCAACUGUAUGUUAUAAUGAAGUCUUUGUUUUUGGUUUUCAGCAAAAAGGGAAAAUAUCAAAUGUUCUGCGAUCCUCAUCUGGUAAAGAAAUUCCUAUUGCAGAUUGCAUAAAGGUUGAUGACGAAGUAGACGAGAACAAUGUCUGUGUAUUGUCGGAUGAUGAAAAUGGACCCUGUGGUGUGGACGAAGGUGGCCCCCUAGUCAACGAAAAUGAACAGCUUGUGGGAAUAGCAACCAAACGUUUGCAGUGUGGUUCGUGGUGUUUUGCAAAAGGAGGCAAGAAGAAGCCAGAUGUAUACACACGGGCAAGCAAAUUUAAGGAUUGGAUCAUAGAAAACACAAAGGAGAACACUACGUGCC